Molecule: transfer RNA, 75 nt
Filed under: Candidatus Woesearchaeota archaeon
Lineage: Archaea; Nanobdellati; Candidatus Woesearchaeota
Description: tRNA-Arg
Rfam family: tRNA
About the family: Transfer RNA (tRNA) molecules are approximately 80 nucleotides in length.
Source: RNAcentral
GCACCGGUAGCUCAGCUUGGAUAGAGCGGCAGCCUCCUAAGCUGUAGGUCGGGGGUUCGAAUCCCCUCCGGUGCG